Molecule: ribosomal RNA, 450 nt
Filed under: uncultured bacterium
Lineage: Bacteria
Description: partial 16S ribosomal RNA
Rfam family: Bacterial small subunit ribosomal RNA
Source: RNAcentral
CCUACGGGCGGCUGCAGUGGGGAAUAUUGGACAAUGGGGGAAACCCUGAUCCAGCAAUGCCGCGUGUGUGAAGAAGGCCUGCGGGUUGUAAAGCACUUUCGGUUGGGAAGAAAAGUUUGGCGCCAAUACCGCCGAACCUUGACGUUACUGACAGAAGAAGCCCCGGCUAACUCUGUGCCAGCAGCCGCGGUAAUACAGAGGGUGCAAGCGGUGAUCGGAAUCACUGGGGGUGGAGCGGGAAUAGGUGGUCGAAAUCCCCGGGCUUAACCUGGGAACUGCAUUCGAUACUACAUGGCUAGAGUAUGGUAGAGGGAAGUGGAAUUUCCGGUGUAGCGGUGAAAUGCGUAGAUAUCGGAAGGAACACCGAUGGCGAAGGCAGCUUCCUGGACUAAUACUGACGCUGAGGCACGAAAGCGUGGGUAGCAAACAGGAUUAGAUACCCCAGUAGUC